This is an RNA transcript of Wasmannia auropunctata (little fire ant), 4921 nucleotides long. RefSeq lists it as uncharacterized. The transcript is spliced from 4 exons. The record is from RefSeq and is a predicted model, not a curated record. NCBI's taxonomy places the organism in Eukaryota, Metazoa, Arthropoda, Insecta, Hymenoptera, Formicidae.
AUGCGCGGAAGCAGCUCCGAACUCCUGCUGGAGGCGAGCUGCAGCCAGUGCCAGAGCGAUCACGAUCGUGGACAAGGUCGGGAUAGCGGCGGCGAGCACGACUUUCCCGAGCGGGAGCUACGUCGUCGCAAGCUGUUGGAGCUCGGGUUCGGCGCGUCGCGGCGCCGACCGCCACGGCGUACUUGCCGUCAGCGGUUUAAUUUCUACGCGACAUCGGCGCUGGCCUUCGUCGCUACCUCGGGCGGCGCGGCGCUCCUCUUCCUGGUGCCGCUCUACGUCGACCCGGCCAUCAGCACCCUAGCGGCGGACUUCUCGCCGGAGCCGGUGAUCUGCACGACCUCGCGGCGCGAGGACCUCGCUGGUCUCUUCAACUGCACGUGGAGCUCGUGCCGCGAGGGAUGCACCAGUGAUGUGUACAGCUGCACGCACAUAUUCGUCACGUACACGCCGUGGAGUAACGCCAGUAUGAAGAACGACACCGGCGGCAGGAACACCACCACCGCGAACAGCACGUUCGAUCUGGGCACCGUCACUGCCGUGUCCUCGUCCCCGGGGGACGUCGAGGCGGUGCUGCUGGUGAACAUCAAGGGCUGCGGAUAUCCGCCGGCAGUCGAUUGCAAGAACUUCACCCGCGAGUUGGGUUACGAGGGCGCGAAGUUUCCCUGCCAUUAUAGCCGGGUGAACGGUAGCAUAGUGAUGGCGAACUAUAACCGCGAGGCACAGGUCGCUACCAUCAUGCACUUCUUCGCGGCGCCUUUCGUAGUGACUCUCGCGACCAGCGUCGCGCUGUGUGUGAUGCACUGUGACUGCAGGUGCACGCCGCCACCGCGACACCCGCCGCGCGGCAUGAGAAGAUCCAGGGCCAACGACCUCAGCUGCUGCAUGACUAUAAAAAAUCGAUAAGCGGGUUAGAAGCGUGCCAGAAGUCGUCCGAUUUAGAAGGUGUAUUUGACAAGGCAAAUAAACUUUCUAAACUAUACGUAAGACAAAGACGGCUUAACAAUGAUGUUACUACCACCGUACUUACUGUCGUCGUGAAACGAUGCUAAACUCUUUCGGCUGCAAAUACUGCCUUAGAAGAAAAGAGCGAAUCGCAGAAACGGAAAUCGGAUAUCGAUUCAUCAUCUCUCUCUCGUAAUCUCCGCUAAUUAGCACCAAAAGGCGCAUUCAUCUCAUUAACGAAACGAGUGCGCUGCCGAAAGCCGUGACUGCGCUCUCCGUGCAACGCAAUGAACAUGUAAAAAGAGAUCUCUAAUUAUCGAUCGGAAAUGCCGUAAGUAAUUCCGUGCACUCGGAAUAAUCGACAGCUCUCUUUCACGGAACGUUGAUAUGUUGCGUGAACAAACAUAGAGCAGCGCGUAACUCGCGUAACUCGCGUAAUCUAUCACUCUUCCGAAUGUCUUUUUUUUCCUCUCCCCUAAUUUUUCUUCUUAAUUGAGUCGUUGAGCGAAACGCGAGUCAUAAAUAUAUCACGUAAGUCGCAUUUUUCUCAUUAAAGUGAGAGGUUUUAUAAAAGUGCCUCGUAUGAAAUCCUGUUAAUGUAUUAUAGCAAUUUUUCUAGAUCAGCGGGACUGCCUAAAGUACUUUUGAACAGAAUAUAUAUCUCAAACAAAACCACUUAAAACAAAAAGACCAAAAAUCUGAAUCGGAGUUUAUCGUAACUAUCAUAACUAUAAUAUCGUAAUUAUCAUACCGCUUAAAAUGUAUGACUCACAAUUAUUGACUUACCAAUUAUUAUUUCGCUCAACUGCUGAAUUUCCGCUGUUGCAUGCCCCCCGCACAGAAAUCAACGCUGUAUUAAGAGAAAUAAAAGGGACCAGAUUGUUGAAUCAAGAAAUCACACGUCAAGAAGCUUAGUGUAAUAACAGCCCGCAGGGGCAGCAAGAACAAAAAGAAUUAUAUAUAUGUACUGUUAUUUCUAUAAUAUACUCUCAUCUCUAAUACCACGUCGCACACAUGCCGAAGAUUCGCUGGAAAUGGACUUGAGUCGAGUUUUGCGCUACGUGCUCUACGAGGGUAAGAUAUUAAUCCACGUGCUCACAAGUGACGGCAAAUGUAAGAAGUAGAUGGUGCGAUCGAAGCCAAAAGUCAUGGCGGUGGCGUUUCUGCUGUUUUUUAAGCAUCGCGAUUCAACGUGACGCGCCUCGAGGGCUCAUUCCCUCUUCGAAAGCCACCUUGUUAUCUUUCUACUUUCGACCGUUUGUCAUUUCCACGGCGAUGGUAUUAGAAGACGGAGGAUCGGGGGUGGCAAGGAUGACAGCUAGCAAAUGGCAGCCUCGACUGUCAUACAUCAGAUUUGGAUUAACCGGUGACCCUGGCCGUGUUGUAUUUUUCUCUUUUUCUUCUGUUUCUUUCUUCUCGCUCUCGCUCUCUCUCUCUUUCUCUUUUUCGCUUUUUCUCUCUUCGCUUCCCCUCUUUUUAUAUCUCUUCUUUUUCACUUUUCUUCGUAAAGUUGUUUGCUACUGUAUCGCGUGCAUUUCCACCGCAAACGGUAUUUCCGUUGUUAGGAUUUCUCGCUUUUAUCUCGCCAGGCCACGAGAGUUGUCGCACAAAUCGUUGUAAUCCGUAAUAAUGUAAUUAUGUUUGCCCGGACUCUAGGUUCCGGGAUUAUCUUGGUAAUCAUGUUCUAUCUCAAUAAAACUGGCGUGUAUCAUUUCCCGUAGUUCAUGCUUUCGUAUUUUGACAACGACUCUCAGUGAAAUUGUCGCCGUCGAUUCUCGUUCUAAGUAGCACAAGUAGUAGAUACAAGAUAAGAUCGUCAUGGAAUUUAUAUUAAAGAUUAUAAAGAUAGAAAAAAAAGAAAAGAGUAUAAUAAAAUGUUGUGAGAAACAGUGAAGUCGUAUGGUAUUCCUGCACUCCACGGGAUUUUUAUCGGACCCGAUUUUAAAGUGAUCUAUUAAAUCGACGAUUUUGCAUGUCACGCUGUUUGAUCUCGACGUUCAACGAUACCGUAUCGAAAUUUGUCGUGCGCGCGGCGAAGAAAAGACGCGAUACACGAUACUGCUGUCGUGUCACUGUUGCAGGAGAUCACGUUUCGUAUCAAAGGAGAGUAAAGAUGAAGUACGUGGCAAAUUCCGUUAUCGUAUCCUUCUUCCUCCAGAAUAUCCACGAGACAGACGGCUAAGCCGGUCGUGCCAUGAAAUACGAGAAAUUCUUCUGAAACGCGAAAAAUUCAUCCCGACGUAGUAUACGUUCGUGUGCUAUCAUCAUGCUAACGAUUACGGCAAACUUUUCGCUCGAGCUUUACCUCGUGUAUAAAUUAUGCGAGAUAAAUGGACUUGUAAUCGCGAUAAGGUACACUUCCAUUUCCUGUGAAAAGGAGUUGCUUCCGCGCGAGAAGAAGGAGCAGAGAAGAGGAGGAAGAAGUUGGCUCACUCAAAUUUAUGUCGCACAAAGUAAUCGUCUUGCAAAAUAAUCAGUAUAUCUGACAAUCUGUUUUUUCUGAGCGUCACAGAGAGAAGAAUCGAGCUCUCGGAAAGAGAACGCGGGGAAGAAAGUAGUAUACUUAAGCGUACUCGUUAACUUGCGACCACGGGCGAGAUGGCAUCGUACAUAAGCGGAUGAAAGGGACGGAAAAAAAAUCCUCUCAAACUUUUAAUUGAAACAUCGCUCCGAAAGAGCCCGUAGCUUCGUGUCAACACGUGAAUAAAAGAAUGUCUCGGAAACUCGUUUUACGGCAUGGCCGAAGUCUCCGCGGCUAUUAGCGCGAGAAUGAAUGAGAUUUUAAACUAGCACAUCGGAGGUAGCCUCUUUGAACAUCCUCGGGACAGUUAGUCGAGAAGAAUAUCGCGCAAAAGUUAACGUCAUUUGUAUCUUUCCUUACUCAAUGACAUUCACGGCUAUUCGUGGUCUCCUCCCACAGUUGGAGCCCGGCCAAAAACUUACAAAAGGAUAUACUUUUGCUGACGGGUUAAUUUAUAAGUAACUUCCAUUCAUCUAACGCUUCAUAAAAGAUUGCAGUUAAAGUUGUUUUUACACGUAAGAUUGCUAUUUAAAAUUGUUACGUCUUAUCUUUAGGAGUUUAGUUAUAUGCACGAAUGUGGAUUAUUCACUGAAAUAUCCGUGAUGCAAUAACGAGAGAUAUAUAAUUAAUGGCAAUAAUUCAUUGAAUAACAAAUUCUAAAAAAGAAGAGAAUAAAAACCGAUUACUUUUACAUUAUAUAUUCCAAGUUAUAUAUCUUGUGUAUAUCGCUAAACUCUUAAUACGAUGCGAUAAUAUUUUACGUUAUACAUUUUACACGUAAAAUGUAAAUUAAUACAUUUAACAGGGUGUAUUAAAGGACAUUGUUUUUCAUUUUCUUUGCUCCGUGACCCUUAUAUAUAACUCGGUUGACAUUUACGCGAAUUAGUCCGAAAAGUUAUUGCUUUAUUCUUGUUCGGGUUAUCCCGUAACGGUACACUCAGGAUAUGGGAAGAAUAAACGUUGGAAUUUCCAAUUAUGCGCAAAUUGCAUGGCUUCUACCACGCGCGCGCGGUGGUUAAUUUGACAUUUGAGCAAUGCUGCCUGCCAGUACGUUUCGGACGCAUGAAGUUACGGCUGCUUCACUUCGCAAAUCGCCGUAGCGAUGGAGCGAACUGUCGCGCAAAAAAUUGGCAGUGAUCGAGAGCGGGAUAAAUAAAUAGGGUAGAUCGUUCACUGUCUCGCGCAUACGCGCAAUGUGGUUGCAAUUUGCAAUUGCAUUUGUCCUGCAUUUCGCGCUGGGGGCACAUGCUUUACAAUCCCAUUAAAUAUUUAUUUAAUUUGAAACGCUGGUACGAUUGUUUAUGAUUCUCGUGCGUACGCAUCAUUACUUUGUAUCGUAUAUACGUUAUCACGCGCGCUGACGUGUUUAACGAAUGACUCAUAAUCGAUGAUAGCAUCGCGAAAUGUACAAUAAUUUUAUUGUGCGCGGGAACGCGGAAGGAAUAUAAUCUUUCUUUU